Pan troglodytes (chimpanzee) is the source of this 1406-nucleotide long non-coding RNA. RefSeq lists it as uncharacterized. NCBI's taxonomy places the organism in Eukaryota, Metazoa, Chordata, Mammalia, Primates, Hominidae. The transcript is spliced from 3 exons. The record is from RefSeq and is a predicted model, not a curated record.
CAGCAGCUUCCUAUCUGCCUGAAGGAGGGCAUCAGGGUCACAGGUGACAUGGUUCAUCCCUCCCCUUUCUGAUGUCUUCCCUUACUGCCUGCCUCCUUGCUGUGCCUCAGACAAGAGGAAAAAUUUGUAAAAGUCACCUUGGACUGAAGACCAGCAUCAGUUUAUAUGGUGUGAGUUCUUUUCAUUUGCCUUAGAUUGCACCUACACUGACAGAAGAAAGUAAAAAGAUCCAGCAGUUGAGGGAGCACUGGCUUCAUGGUUGAGUCAUCAUUUUGCUAAAUUAUGUAAUAAAUUCAUAAAUACUAACAGUGGAAAAACUAAGCAGUGGAGGGAAAAUCCACUGUUUAUCUUCAUCUCCCAGUCGCCCAGUAUUUCACCAGUGGUAUCAAUUAUGAAAUGUCAGACUCAUAGGGAAUGGGAGACAGAGCUGGUCAAUGAUCUGACCAAGCAUCUGAUGAUGAUAAUGUUUUUAUUAUAUAAGGAGACACUUAAAACUGUAUAAAUAGACAUUUUAUUGUUUUCCUUUAAAUGUGUUUAACUCUAAAAAUGUUUUAGUGCAAAAUGUGUUAGUAGUUAGCAAUUGUUUGUUAUACUAGUGAUCCAACAUCUGUUAACAAUGAGGUUCUGGCAUACCAUCUGUAUUAGUCCAUUCUCAUGCUGCUAUAAAGAACUGCCUGAGACUGGGUAAUUUACAAAGAAAGGAGGUUUAAUUGACUCACAGUUCUGUGGGGCUGGGGACACCUAGAAAAUUUACAAGUAUGGUAGAAGGAGAAGCAAACACAUCCUUCUUCACAUGCUGGCAGGAGAGAGAAUGAGAACCAAGUGAAGCGGGGAGUCCCUUAUAAAACCAUCAAAUCUUGUGAAAACUUACUCAUUAUCAUGAGAAUAGCAUGAGGGUAAUCACCCCCAUGAUUCAAUUAUCUCCCACUGGGUCCCACCCAUGACACUUGGGGAUUAUGGAAACUACAAUUCAAGAUGAGAUUUGGGUGGGGACACAGCCAUACCAUAUCACCAUCCCACAUGAGUAAUUCUGAAGAAAAGGAAGCCAGAGUAACAGGGUAGCAGUCACCCCAAAAUAACCCUGAGACUACAGCUUUGGGCAGAGCAAGCCCUAGGCAAAAGCUAUGAAGUGAGCAGAGCUGUUUAUCCAUUAACUCAUCUGUUCUAUACCCAUCUAUACUGGCUAUGAUAUUCCAACAUUAUGCACAAGGAUAAACAAGAUUUACUUCCUGCCCAAAGAAAUUUACACAUUUUAGCUUCCUUCCUAAAGUCAGCUUCCUGAAUUUUCUACACUUACACACCCAUAAGGCCAGUAUCCUACUGUUCUUUGGCCUCUUGAUUUCCUCCUCUUAUCAAAAACUCUUCUUGAUUAGCUACAAGUUGGGAAUAAACUAAUAGUUAAUUCA